UACGUAGGGUGCAAACGUUGUUCGGAAUCACUGGGCCUAAAGAGCGCGUAGGCGGUCUGACAAGUCCCCUGUGAAAGCCCCCGGCUCAACUGGGGAGGGUCACGCGAUACUGAUCGACUCGAAGGCAGGAGAGGGUAGUGGAAUUCCCGGUGUAGUGGUGAAAUGCGUAGAUAUCGGGAGGAACACCAGUGGCGAAGGCGACUACCUGGCCUGUUCUUGACGCUGAGGCGCGAAAGCUAGGGGAGCAAACGGG
This 253-nucleotide ribosomal RNA is filed under the name uncultured bacterium. RNAcentral describes it as "partial 16S ribosomal RNA". It matches the Rfam family "Bacterial small subunit ribosomal RNA", at positions 524 to 776 of the family's 1533-position model. The record is from RNAcentral.